UGUGCUUGCAAAAGGAAUUGGACACCGUUAAAGCUGAGAUCCGGGAGUUGGAAGAACAGCAACUUCAGUCUGAGCGUUGUGUCCAUGACUUGGAGACUGUCUUGGAUAAUAAGGAAAGAGAAGUAGUAGCUUCUUCCCAGAAGCUGCAGGACUUCCUAUUGGCAUCUUCUGGGACUAACGCUACUAUCAAACAACUGGAAGAACACGUGCAACGCCUUGAAAUUGAAAACGCCAGACUGGAAGCCACGGUCCAGCAACAAAGCAGUAGGACUGAAGCCCUUCAGAGGGACCUGCAAGCCUCUGCCUCAGUAAGCUGGUGAUAAACUUCCCUUUUUGUGAGCUCC
Strigops habroptila (Kakapo) is the source of this 344-nucleotide long non-coding RNA. RefSeq lists it as uncharacterized. The record is from RefSeq and is a predicted model, not a curated record. Lineage: Eukaryota; Metazoa; Chordata; Aves; Psittaciformes; Psittacidae. The transcript is spliced from 3 exons.